Molecule: long non-coding RNA, 194 nt
Filed under: Lynx canadensis (Canada lynx)
Lineage: Eukaryota; Metazoa; Chordata; Mammalia; Carnivora; Felidae
Description: lncRNA (ENSLCNG00005011071.1)
Source: RNAcentral
AUUGUGUGGCCUGAAUUUGCGGGACUUCCCGGUCAUCGUCAUCCUCCGCUCCCCGCGCUCAGCCUGGCCCGAGCUCGGCUUCCCCAGCCCCUGUCCACCGCCCACCUGCUGAGGAGCAGCAGAGUGCUGUGUCACUCAGGAGUUGGGGACCCCUGACCCAGCCCAACCGCCCUCGUGCGCUGUGCAGAAAGGUA